GUUAUUGUCCAAGCCGCCUUCCCUUUUUUUUUCUUUUCACGUUCACCACCUAACCGCCAUCUCAAGCUGUUCUCUUCUUCUCAUCUAAUCUCCAUCAUAAGGAGAAACACUCCAAAGAAGACUCAUAACCAUAAACGAGUAACACCGGAGAUCCACUUCGUUAGUGCCGUAUCAACACCGCCGCCAUCAUCUUCAUCAAACCGUGAGAAAAGUCAGGUGGGAGAUCCGGGUCCGUAACAUCUCCAAAUCACCAGCACUGAUCACCACUAUCUUGACCGUGAGGAAGUCAGCGUGGAAUUAUUUAUUCAACAAAUAAUUCUUUUAUAAAGCUUAGACCGAGGCUUGUUGGAUAAGUAUUAUUUCUCGAGCAUUUCCGUUCCAUCCCCGGUUUGACUAAGAUGCCGCCAAAGAGAGGAACUAAGCGUACUCGCACCGUGAGAGCCAGAGUUGAUGCUCGCGAGGUUGCAGAUGACCAGGCUCCACCAGUGGAUGUUCAGACAGAAGGUGUGCCGCCAGUAGCCCCACCGAUUGAUCAGGCUGCACUCAUGCAGAUGGUUCAGGCAGCAGCUACGCAAGCUGCUCAGGCUGCCAUUCAGCAGGUUACCCAGGAAGCAGCUCGGGUUGCUGCACAGGAAGCUGCUCGAGUAGCCGCACAAGAAGUUGCUCGCCAGUUGGCUGCCGCUCAGGUUCCACCACAGCAGGUCCCAGCAGCGCAGAUUCCUCAGGUACCAUUGCAGCAGGUUCCAACAGCGCAUAUUCCUCAGGUACCAUUGCAGCAGGUUCCAGCAGCGCAGAUUCCUCAGGUACCAUUGCAGCAGGUUCCAGGCCAGCAGAUUCUGCCACCUCCACCGCCAUUACCACAGGUUUAUCCAGCUCAUGAUGAGAGGUAUUACCGACUCACCAGUAUGAUGAAAAAUAUGGGUAUGGAGCAUUUUGUAGGAACAGUGGAUCCUACAGCUGCUUAUGAUUGGAAGUUGAGUCUGCAACGGAAGUUGGAGAAUAUUAAUUGUCCCUCAGAGUUUAAGCUUAGAUUGGCUAUGCAGUAUUUACGUGGAGAUGCAUUGGUAUGGUGGGAGGGAGUGCGAUUGAACCAUGGGCCUGACAUUCUCACUUUUGAAGAUUUUAUCGAGGAGUUUGAUAAGAAGUACUUUCCGAAACAAGCUAUGGAUAGAAAGAAGAGGGACUUCGAGCAUGUGAGCCAGGGUGACUUAUCGAUCAAGCAGUAUGAGGUUAAGUUCAACCAGCUUCGCAGGUUUGUUGGAGGUGGUAUUCCUGAAGAGGAGUUGAUCAGGAAGUUUUUGGAUGGGAUGCGUUUGGAUAUUCGCAACAAGUGUAAUGUCGCCACUUACUACAGAUUGGGAGACUUGGUGGAGAAAGCAGCUGAACAAGAAGCAGGUUGGAUAGAGGAACAGAAACUUCUCAAAGAAGCCCAACCUAAAUCUGGAAAGACUUCAGAGUCACAAAAGAGAACUUGGGAACAAUUGGGAGCACCUAAGUGCGGCAAAUGCCAUCGCCACCAUUUUGGAGAGUGUGUCCAGUGUCAUAAUUGUGGAAGGAUGGGACAUGUGUCCAAGUAUUGUCGGAGCAGGCCUGUCGAUGUUCAGGGUACCGGGCAUAUUGCAGCGGGACCGGGUAGUUGCUAUAACUGUGGUCAGACAGGUCAUUUUUUUAGGGAGUGUCCGACGAGGGGACAUGCUACACUUCCACCACUGCCUAAGCGCCAAGCCACUGAUCCAUGAUUAUUUCCAGUAGGAGGCAGCGAGAGAGUUAAGCCAACUGUUGGUACGCAUCUUUUCACCUGGUAAUUUAUGUUUGCGCACGGUUUAUUUAUUUAUUUAUUUAUUAUUUUUUUUUUUUUUGUGUGGUUAUCAUGUGUUUUUAGAUAGAGAAAAAAAAGCGUUAGUUCAGUGACAGUUGAGUGUGAGAGCUUUCACCUCAUUUGAUAUGGAGGACCGCAUAGUUCAGAGUGUAGCUAGCAGAGAAUUUUUUUUCUAAAAGAGUUAAGUCAAGUUGAAGACAUCUUUUCUCUUUCUUGGCUUAGUAUUUGAAUUCGGGGACGAAUUCUUUAUUAGUGGGGAAGAAUUGUAACGACCCGGUUACGUGAGUCGGGUUAUAAUUCAUUAAUUUGAAUUAUAGUUAACCGAACUUACCGUAAUUUGCAUGUGUUUAGUGCUAAACGGGGCCGUAUUGGUAUAUAAUAUAUGUAUCUACUUCUCCAUGAAAAACCUAGACCAUCGUUAUUGUCCAAGCCGCCUUCCCUUUUUUUUUCUUUUCACGUUCACCACCUAACCGCCAUCUCAAGCUGUUCUCUUCUUCUCAUCUAAUCUCCAUCAUAAGGAGAAGCACUCCAAAGAAGACUCAUAACCAUAAACGAGUAACACCGGAGAUCCACUUCGUUAGUGCCGUAUCAACACCGCCGCCAUCAUCUUCAUCAAACCGUGAGAAAAGUCAGGUGGGAGAUCCGGGUCCGUAACAUCUCCAAAUCACCAGCACUGAUCACCACUAUCUUGACCGUGAGGAAGUCAGCGUGGAAUUAUUUAUUCAACAAAUAAUUCUUUUAUAAAGCUUAGACCGAGGCUUGUUGGAUAAGUAUUAUUUCUCGAGCAUUUCCGUUCCAUCCCCGGUUUGACUAAGGUGAGACUGACCAGCAGGAGUAAUUGCUAUCGGAUUGGUGCUUUUGGGCGUUUUCUUUAGUUUUUUUUUAGACUUGCGGUUUUAUGUUUUAUUGAUAUUUUCAGAGUUUAUUUUAUUAUUUGGAUUUAUGACUAUUUAUUGGAUUUAUGGAGUUUGGAUACGAUUUAUGAGGAUUAAUAAAUGGAGAUUUCAUGAA
This is an RNA transcript of Raphanus sativus (radish), 2830 nucleotides long. RefSeq lists it as uncharacterized. NCBI's taxonomy places the organism in Eukaryota, Viridiplantae, Streptophyta, Magnoliopsida, Brassicales, Brassicaceae. The transcript has 5 exons. The record is from RefSeq and is a predicted model, not a curated record.